UGGGGAAUAUUGCACAAUGGGCGCAAGCCUGAUGCAGCAACGCCGCGUGAGGGACGACGGCCUUCGGGUUGUAAACCUCUUUUAGUAGGGAAGAAGCGAAAGUGACGGUACCUGCAGAAAAAGCACCGGCUAACUACGUGCCAGCAGCCGCGGUAAUACGUAGGGUGCGAGCGUUGUCCGGAAUUAUUGGGCGUAAAGAGCUCGUAGGCGGUCUGUCGCGUCUGCUGUGAAAACCCGAGGCUCAACCUCGGGCCUGCAGUGGGUACGGGCAGACUAGAGUGCGGUAGGGGAGAAUGGAAUUCCUGGUGUAGCGGUGGAAUGCGCAGAUAUCAGGAGGAACACCGAUGGCGAAGGCAGUUCUCUGGGCCGUAACUGACGCUGAGGAGCGAAGGCGUGGGGAGCGAACAGGAUUAGAUACCCUGGGUAGUCCACGCCGUAAACGUUGGGCGCUAGAUGUGGGGACCAUUCCACGGUUUCCGUGUCGCAGCUAACGCAUU
This 497-nucleotide ribosomal RNA is filed under the name uncultured bacterium. RNAcentral's name for it is "partial 16S ribosomal RNA". It matches the Rfam family "Bacterial small subunit ribosomal RNA", at positions 355 to 861 of the family's 1533-position model. The record is from RNAcentral.